RNAcentral lists this ribosomal RNA (119 nucleotides) under Pteropus alecto (black flying fox). The record is from RNAcentral. Lineage: Eukaryota; Metazoa; Chordata; Mammalia; Chiroptera; Pteropodidae.
GUCUACGGCCAUGCCACCCUGAACAAGCCCGAUCUCAUCUGAUCUCGGAAGCUAAGCAGGGUUGGGCCUGGUUAGUACUUGGAUGGGAGACCACCUAGGAAGACCAGGUGCUGUAGGUG